Molecule: unclassified non-coding RNA, 1249 nt
Filed under: Caenorhabditis elegans
Lineage: Eukaryota; Metazoa; Nematoda; Chromadorea; Rhabditida; Rhabditidae
Description: Non-coding transcript of protein-coding gene F36F12.3b
Source: RNAcentral
GGCAUUCAAGUAACCCUUGUCCAGAGGAAUCGUGGAAUCAAAAAAAUACAGAGUCCAUUCCAAACGGGGAUAUUCACGAAGAAUGGAUGAAGCAGAAUUGGAGUAGGCGGGACAACAUGUACAAUUCGGAAUUGCGUCUAAUAAAUGCAUACCUUUAUGAGGACUACAUCGCAGUCACGACGACGAUUCAAUUCAGAACUGGAAAGCCUGCCUACUGCCACUUCUAUGACUGUCACCAGCAGGAGAUUUCCAAUUCCACGUGGCGCUCCUCAUUUUUCCCUCUGAACAUUGUGUACUGUGUGCGGAGAGCCGGAGCCAAGUACAUAUCGAUUUCUUUAGAAAAGCACAGCGUUGCAGAAAAACCACCGAUCCCCAUGAUUUUCAGAGCGUACAAAGAUUAGAACCAAUUCACGAGUUGACAAUGUGCGUGGGGCCGUUCUACGGUGCCGAUAGAAAAUGGCUCCAGCUUGUGGAAUUUGUGGAGCACAUGCGGAUAUUUGAAGUAUCAAUGUUCUUCUUUACUGUAUUCGAUAUGGAUGCGUAUUCCCGUCUGGCGUUGGAUGAAUACGAGCGGCAGGGGAUCGCCGAGACUACAGUAAUCCAGACAGAGUAUGAGCAACUCGAUUGGAUGUUCCACUUGCUGCAGCUUCAUGACUGUUUCCAUCGCAGCAAAUACAUCUCAAGAUGGGUCAUAAAUGCAGAUAUUGACGAGCGAUUCGUGAUGUUUCAGCCAGAAACUACCCUUAUUCAACUCCUUCGGUCCCAGGAUGCAAAUGUUGGGGAGCUGAAUUUUCAGGCGCGACGGAUUCAAAAAACCGAAAACUCACCGCAGAAAUUCACCAAUCUGCAAGACACCAUCGAAAACCUGGAGGCGCUGAAAUUCCGGAACACUACUAGAACUCAAAUCUGGGAAUCUUCAAAAAGUAUAUACCGCCCGGAAAUGGUCGCCGUACAAACCUACCAUCACACUCAUCUACAGUAUCCCGGCGUUAUCGUGAAAAAUGUUCCCAGGGAGACUGCCGGGUUUAGACACUACCGAAUGACCUCCGUCAGAAAUAGUAUCGGAAAUGGUUGGAUUUACGGCGACAACUUCACUAUAACCGAGCUGGAUAGGGAGCUGGAGAAGCUUCUGGUGCAUAAAGUUGCUAAUAUGGCUGAGCAUAUUUAUGGGUCUUGAAAUGAAGAAAUUGCAGUAACUUACUGUACCGGUUUUGUAUUCCUUUUUUUUCAUGUCGAAAUAAAUCAAAUC